This 446-nucleotide ribosomal RNA is filed under the name uncultured bacterium. Its description in RNAcentral is "partial 16S ribosomal RNA". It matches the Rfam family "Bacterial small subunit ribosomal RNA", at positions 338 to 795 of the family's 1533-position model. The record is from RNAcentral.
CCUACGGGUGGCUACAGUCGAGAAUCAUUCACAAUGGGGGAAACCCUGAUGGUGCGACGCCGCGUGGGGGAAUGAAGGUCUUCGGAUUGUAAACCCCUGUCAUGUGGGAGCAAAUUAAAAAGAUCGUACCACACGAGGAAGAGACGGCUAACUCUGUUCCAGCAGCCGCGGUAAUACAGAGGUCUCAAGCGUUGUUCGGCAUCACUGGGCGUAAAGCGUGCGUAGGCUGUUUCGUAAGUCGUGUGUGAAAGGCGCGGGCUCAACCCGCGGACGGCACAUGAUACUGCGAGACUAGAGUAAAGGAGGGGGAACCGGAAUUCGCGGUGUAGCAGUGAAAUGCGUAGAUAUCGAGAGGAACACUCGUGGCGAAGGCGGGUUCCUGGACAGUAACUGACGCUGAGGCACGAAGGCCAGGGGAGCGAAAGGGAUUAGAUACCCUGGUAGUC